GACUGUGACUGCUACUCGGGCUGGAACACACACUAUGCCAGUCGCUGUUUCGGUUCACUGCUGUAAUAAUUUUCUCAUAUCUGCCGAUGCCAGAUAAAAUGUAGAUGCAGGAAAAACUAGCAACAGCAAAAACCCUAUGAGCAAUAUAUGACGUCACAUGGAAAAAAAUUUGGCGACAAUGUUUCAAAUCAAAUGAUGACUGCGCCUACACCUGGACCCCAAUGUGUGACUGCUGUCCGUAAUGGCGCACAAAAAAUAAAAGCGGGGCCUGUAACAGCUUUGGCUUAAUGA
Molecule: long non-coding RNA, 291 nt
Organism: Drosophila miranda
Lineage: Eukaryota; Metazoa; Arthropoda; Insecta; Diptera; Drosophilidae
Exons: 2
Source: RefSeq, a predicted model, not a curated record